Molecule: long non-coding RNA, 903 nt
Organism: Perognathus longimembris pacificus (Pacific pocket mouse)
Lineage: Eukaryota; Metazoa; Chordata; Mammalia; Rodentia; Heteromyidae
Exons: 3
Source: RefSeq, a predicted model, not a curated record
UGCCAUCAAAACUGCUAUUCUGCAAAACUCCUCUAAAGCCUAGUUCAAAAGUCACCUUCUCCCUCAUGCUCUCCCAUCUUUCUCAGCAUUUCAUUCUCACUACUUAUAACAGCUCUUUAGCCAUAAGUAUAGAAGAGCAUUGUAAAUAAUCAUUGUAGCUUGUCCUUUAAAAUACGUGACAUCUCCUGGGUACUCUAGCUCCCAGAGGAAAGGAACUCAUUUUAUUCACAAGUUCUAGCACCAUAUUGGAACCUGGAAUGAAAAAUCAGUAUUGAAUAAUUCACCACAUGGAGCACUACAUUAAGUUACAGAGGAAAAGAUAGCUGCCCAAAUUAAAGACCUGAAUCAUCUAUAUAUUCAAUCUUAUCCAAAUGACAAUAUGGCCGAAAGGCAGCAUAGAUGUAUACAACUUCAAAUUACAAAUGGGACAACAGUAGCUCUCUCCUGUAAUCCUAGCUACUCAGGAGACUGAGACCUAAAUGAUGGAGGUUCAAAGCUAGCCAGGAAGAAAAGUCUCCAUCUCUUUAAUUGACCAGUGAAAAGUGGUACACUGCCAACCAAGAACAAACUUGAGGCCUUGAGUUCAAGACCCAGUACUGACACAAAAGUAAAUAAGUAAAUUAUAGCAACUAAUAUUUGAACUAAACCGUUGACAAGGAUCAAUAUGAUCCCCACAAAAAGGCAAUGAGAUAAGUACUUUUCUCUCUGUUAAGAUGAAGAAACUGAGGCAGGUUAAUAAGUAAAUUUGUGUAUGUGAAUCCAGAGCCAGUGAGCUGGGUUUGAAUCCAGGCUAUGUUACAACUAUGACUGGCCAAGUCACUACCGCCUCUGGGCUUGUUUCCUUAUAAGAGGCAUAUAAAAACUUCAUUUUCCCAUAGUAUACAGAGGACUGAGUUAAAUAUA